RNAcentral lists this small RNA (78 nucleotides) under Flavobacterium swingsii. Its description in RNAcentral is "Flavo-1 RNA". It matches the Rfam family "Flavo-1 RNA". The record is from RNAcentral. Lineage: Bacteria; Pseudomonadati; Bacteroidota; Flavobacteriia; Flavobacteriales; Flavobacteriaceae.
CCCUAGCCCUGAUUGGAACGAUAUCCUUUUUCUUGCUUCUUUAGCAAGGAAAAGAUAUAGUGGAAAGCAGGAAAUAGC